GUUCCUCCUUUGGCCUCCCACAGUGCUAGGAUUACAGGUGUGAGCCACUGUCCCCAGCCUAGAAAAGGACAUUUUAAACAACCAGAUCAACAAGAAGUGAGGCCUGCAAUAAUACUGAUAACUAUUCUCUGCUCACAGACCUUUGUCAUUUAUUAUGAAUGUUAUAUGCAGUCUCAAUCUUGAAAAUCUGAGAAAGGUAUCUGAGAAUGCUUGUUAGUAUAAAGCAGUGUCUUUUCGCUACCUUAAAAAGGAUCCACCAAAUUAUAGACUGAAACCUCCCUGUUCCCUCCCACCCAAAGCAUUAUUCGUUUUUUCACUUCUACUGGGAUAUUAAAUUACUUUGGGACCUUAGAGGUAAGCUGUGAAUGAACUCUAGUACAUCUGUGCUGUGGCCUAUUAAUAAAUUCUUUAACAAUGAUUCACCAUGGGCUUUGAAACAAGUUAAUAUCCAUUAAUUUGCCUUGUCUUAAAUAUAAAUUCUUCUUUUCCCAAUAGAAUGUCUCUUUGAAAAUGAUUACUCUAAAACGGUGAGAUUGUUAAUGUGCUUCUCACUUUAUUCUUAAUGAAAAGUAGACAAAGCCUAAUAUAUGAAUCUCAGAUCACAAAAGAUAAUUUUUUGUUAACUGGUGAAGGCUUGGCUUAGUGUUGACACAUUCAAUUCCAUUCAAUUUCAUCAAUAUUUGGAGUAUUAGAUAUUAUUGAUAGGAUUAUAGUCUUUUUGUGAUCCCUGAGUGCAUGGCUUAGUAUUUAGUGAACAAACACCUAUAAGAUGAUAAACGUAAGAUACAAUUGUGUAUAAGGUUUCAUACAGAAGAAAAAGCCAUUAGGUUCAUUUUGAGGGGAGGAAAUUAUCAAGCUAAAGAGAAAAGGUGAUAUUUAUAAGAAUUCAAGCAAAGAAGUAAGGCAACAUAACAUAACAUUUCACAUAUAUUCUGGAAAUCGUGAGAAGUCUAGUGCAGCUAAAAUGCUGGUUGCGUGGGUCAUGGGAAACCCCUCGAACAAUGCCCCAAAUGGAACCUGAGGUCCUUAGUCCUACAACAUCUCAGUGUUUCCUUCCCAGCAGAAGCAAAUGAGAUCGAGACUGUGACUAUCAUCUAUUGUUCUUUAACAGGUUAUUGCUCCCUGAGUGUCUCUCUUAGGGUCAGGCUGCAAAUUUUCCUCAAAGCAGCGUAAAAGAAGAAGGGACACUCAUAAAUCCCCUGACCGAUGCCUCUUCGUUUAGAAAUGCUUGCUGUUUGAAAACUUGUGAAGACCUGCAUCCCUUUGUAUCUCAAAUAAAGACAGAGGGUUGAAGACAGCAAGUGCAUCUCUGGGCAACCACUGCAGCUGGCCAUGGGGGACUGAUGCAUACUGUUGAGGUUGAUCUUACUCUGUCUCCUCCCUAUGUUGGACAACAUCAUUGUCACUAUCAAGAUGACUCUGUCCCUUCUUGCUCUCUCCCUUUUACCCUUCCAAAUCCUCAAUCGAAAUGCCCGGACUACCCAAAAGUUAAAUACACCACUGUAUCUGUUCAGGUUCAAGAACAGUACUUCA
Molecule: non-coding RNA, 1533 nt
Organism: Chlorocebus sabaeus (green monkey)
Lineage: Eukaryota; Metazoa; Chordata; Mammalia; Primates; Cercopithecidae
Source: RefSeq, a predicted model, not a curated record